UUUGAGAAGGUAUGCCUUCGAUGGUGAUUGGACUUGCUCCAUGAGCUAUUGAAGGUCGCAGGUAAUCGGUGGCUGCGACUGUUUAUCAAAAACACAGGACUCUGCGAACACGUAAGUGGAUGUAUAGGGUCUGACGCCUGCCCGGUGCCGGAAGGUUAAUUGAUGGGGUUAGCGCAAGCGAAGCUCUUGAUCGAAGCCCCGGUAAACGGCGGCCGUAACAAUAACGGUCCUAAGGUAGCGAAAUUCCUUGUCGGGUAAGUUCCGACCUGCACGAAUGGCGUAACGCUGGCCACACUGUCUCGACCAGAGACUCAGUGAAGUUGAAAUCGCUGUGGAGAUGCGGCGUUCCCGCGGAAAGACGGAAAGACCCCGUGAACCUUUACUACAGCUUUACACUGAACUUUGAACCUUCCUGUGUAGGAUAGGUGGGAGGCUUUGAAGCCUGGGCGCUAGCUCAGGUGGAGCCAAUCUUGAAAUACCACCCUGGAAUGUUCGGAGUUCUAACCUUGGUCCGUAAUCCGGAUUGGGGACAGUGUAUGGUGGGUAGUUUGACUGGGGCGGUCUCCUCCCAAAGAGUAACGGAGGAGUGCAAAGGUACGCUCAGCGCGGUCGGUCAUCGCGCUCUAGAGUGCAAAGGCAUAAGCGUGCUUAACUGUGAGACGGACAUGUCGAACAGGUACGAAAGUAGGUCUUAGUGAUCCGGUGGUUCUGUAUGGAAGGGCCAUCGCUCAACGGAUAAAAGGUACUCCGGGGAUGACAGGCUUAUUCCGCCCAAGAGUCCACAUCGACGGCGGAGUUUGGCACCUCGAUGUCGGCUCAUCACAUCCUGGGGCUGUAGCAGGUCCAAGGGUAUGGCUGUUCGCCAUUUAAAGUCGUAUGCGAGCUGGGUUCAGAACGUCGUGAGACAGUUCGGUCCCUAUCUUCCGUGGGCGUUGGAAACUUGAGGGUGAGCUGUCCUUAGUACGAGAGGACCGGGAUGGACGUAUCUCUGGUGUUCCGGUUGUCACGCCAGUGGCACUGCCGGGUAGCUAUAUACGGACGGGAUAAUCGCUGAAAGCAUCUAAGCGAGAAGCCCCCCCCAAGAUUAGGUUUCCCUGGGAGCUUGACUCCCCUAAAGGGCCGUCGAAGACUACGACGUUGAUAGGUUGGGUGUGUACAGGUAGUAAUAUCUUGAGCUAACCAAUACUAAUUGCCCGUGAGACUUGAUC
RNAcentral lists this ribosomal RNA (1208 nucleotides) under metagenome. Its description in RNAcentral is "bacterial LSU rRNA". It matches the Rfam family "Bacterial large subunit ribosomal RNA", at positions 1737 to 2925 of the family's 2925-position model. The record is from RNAcentral.